CGGGCCCUGAGGUGCUGAGGCCCCUCCCCGGCCCGGUCCGGUCCAGCCAUGACGGUACCACAGCGACGCCCGGGUGCUUCUCCGCCCCGACUGCGCCCCCCAAAUACCGCGAGGCCUGCAGGUGCCGCACAGCUGAUGUAACUGCAGUUCCAUGAAUUGCACUCCAGCUACGCAGACCCAGGGGCCUGGGACUCAGCCCAGCAGGCUCUCACUCCGCACCUGACUCCAGCUGUGGAGCAAGCUUAGCGGCAUUUCUGCACUGGACUCUCCUGUCUGAGCACCCAGAGGUCAGAGUGCGUGUCUGAAGGGAAGAACAGCAAGUGUUGAUUCCAGAAAGUUCACCGAAAGGAAAGAGCUCGUGCUCGCUCAGAGGCUAGUCUGUCCAGCUCUGCAUGCAGUCUAAGCACUCCUCCUCAGUCACUUAGCCACCCUGACAUUCCCAGGAGUGCCAAGCCCUACCCAGGAAGAGGAAACUGAUGUAGUACAGGGGCCAGGCGGUGGCGCACCUAGUUAAGCGCUCACACAGUGUGCAAGGUUCAAGCUUCUGGUCCCCACCUGCAGGGGAAAAGCUUCAUGAGUGGUGAAACAGAGCUGCAGGUGUCUCUGUGUCUCAAUUCCUGUCUAUCACCUCCCUCCCUUCUCAAUUUCUCUCUGUCUCUAUCCAACAAUAAAUAAAAACAUUUAAAAAAGAAAGAGAGAGAGAAGGAAGCUGGUAUGGAAGCUGUGGAGAAGGGGGACUAUCAGGAGCAAACUCCUUUGCCUUCUCUUGACUCCCUCCCCCUUCAGUCACCGUCCCUCCAUCCCCGUGUAGCUAAAAACUGGCGGUGAGUGGUGUAGGUAUGGUCUGGCCUCCAAGCUGGGCAUCAGCACUGCACACGCUCGACGCCCGCUCUAUUGCUUGGAGAGCACAACUGGUAAGUUUGUGGGGAGCUGUGGCAACGAGAGCAGGCAUACUCCUCUUACAAAGCCGCAUGACAUUAGGACUGGUGCAGAAACUUAUAGUUAGGCGACUCCCUGCAGACUCAUCAAUACCACACCUAGAAAUUACCCUCCCGCCAGAGGAUGGUCACAUGCAUGGCUCUCACUGCAGCUUGUGAUCACAGAAGUGUGAGGUGGGCGUGGUGAUGUCAUUCACGGUGUACAAAGGAUAUUGAUUGAUUACGUAUUCUGUGACAGAAGAUAUGAUGUGUUCAGUGGGAUGAAGACAACUGAAUUGUGUGCUUUGUUUCACUAACAUUUAUUUGUUUCUUCGUGUAAGAGAGAACCAGAGUGUCACUCUAGCAUACGCAAUGCUGGGGAUUAAACUCUGGACCUCACUCCUGAAAGUCCUGUACUCUGCCACAGAGCCAUCUCUUGGCCACAAAAGUUGCAAGCUGGGAGUCAAGCAGUAGCGCAGCGGGUUAAACACAUGUGGUGCAAAGCGCAAGGACCAGUGUGAGGAUCCUGGUUCGAGCCCCCGGCUCCCCAUCUGCAGGGGAGUCGCUUCACAGGCAGUGAAGCAGGUCUGAAGGUGUCUGUCUUUCUUUCCCCCUCUCUGUGUUUCCGUCCUCUCUCCAUUUCUCUCUGUCCUAUCCAACAACAACGACAGCAAUAAUAACUAUAACAAUAAAACAACAAGGGCAACAAAAGGGAAAAUAAAUAAUUUUUUUUAAAAAAAAUCAUGCAGGGAACAAUGGAAUAGUGAGGCACGAGGCCCUGCCACUGCAGAAAUCAACAGAUAGACAGACAGGCCUGAAAGAGGUGGGCCUGGGGGAGGGAGCGGUUGGUAGCAGAUGGUGGGCUUGUGAGAGAGUGCAGGCCCCACAUACACAAAAGCAUUGUUCUAGUCUCAGGCAGUCAGUAAAUACAUCUCCUUAUCUUCCUCCUCUUCUUCUUCUUCUGGUAGAGCAAUGUUAUGGUUUUGGUCUCUCUCUCUCUCUCUCUCCCUCUAAGUAAGCAAAUAAAUUCAUUCAGUGGUGGCCUGGGAGACAUCCCAGCAGGUGGAACACUGUUCCCAGGGGGACUCUGAUUCAGAGACAGACUGGGGAGAUACCACCGAGAGUGCCAGGGAGAUACCAGAGAUUUCCCUGGCACUCUCGGGUGGUGCUGAGGCUCGAACCUAGGGCUUUGCAUAUGGUACAGCCCACACCCUACCCAGUGAACUCUCUUCCCUGUGCUUUCUGCCUUAAUGGGGGGGGGGGGGGCAGAGAGGGAUACAGCUUUGUCUUUUUGUUCUUGUACCAGCCAGGAUCAGUGGGAACAGAACGGCUGGCUCCUAGCGCAAUGCUGAGGGCUGAAGAAGGGACAGUGCAGUCGUGGGCUGGGUCUCGGCUCUCAGGUCUCGGGGGCAGAAGAGCACGCUGGCCCCUCCGCUGAGCAGCCCUCAUCAAGCAAAGGCCUGGCAGGGCACAGCCCUCUUCCUGCCCUGGGGUCUCCAUCAUGAACCUUCUUUUUCAUUUCCUUUCUUCUCUUUCCUUUUUAUUUAUUUUUAUUUUCUUUAAAGGUUGUUUAAACUUUAUUUAAUUUGAUAGGAUAAAGAAAAAUUAAGAUGGAAAGGGGAAAGAGGAGAGGGAGCGAGGCAGACACUUGCAGGCCUGCUUCACCACUUUUCUCACUCGCCCACUGUCACUCUUCUCUCCCAGCACACUGCAGCCCCUCAGCUGUCUCCAACUCCCUUCCCAGGAGUUGGGGGGCUCCUCCACUCCCUCCUGGCUGCGUUCUGAGUGAUUGGCCACACACGUCCAGCGCUGACCCACAGGGGAGCAUUGGUCAUGCUGAGAGCUUGCUGCCAGGGGCCUGCAUACUCCCCAUAGACCCCACCACUCCCCCACCCCUGCAGGGCAGUGCCAGGGUGCUUCCUGAGCAGCCUUCACACUGUUGGCGACUGACUGACUGGCUCAGAUGUCUGGGACACACAGAAGCACUGCCCAUGUUGCUCUGAGUCCCUGCCCUUCCCUGGCCAUUCCCACUCCCUGAGAUUGACUGAGAUUUCUGCCCCUUGGAGUGCAUGUGCUCAGGACUGAAGGAGACAUCUCCUCACCUGCUCUGGUUUUUUUUUUUCCCCUGGUUAGACAUGAAAGGCUGGGCAGGGAAGACGGCAUAAUGGUUAUGUAAAAGACAUUCGUGUCUAAGACUGCAAAGGCCCAGGUUCAAUCCCACGCACCACCAUAAACCAAAGUGUAUGCUAAGCAGUGCUCUUGUCUCUCUCUCUCCUUUAUCUCAGUCUCUCUCAUUAAACAAACAGUGGUCUGGGAGGUGGUGCAGUGAUAAAGCUUUGGACUCUCAAGCAUGAGAUCCUGAGUUCCAUCCCCAGCAGCACAUGUGCCAGAGUGAUGUCUGGUUCUUUCUCUCUCCUCCUG
This is a long non-coding RNA of Erinaceus europaeus (western European hedgehog), 3338 nucleotides long. RefSeq lists it as uncharacterized. Lineage: Eukaryota; Metazoa; Chordata; Mammalia; Eulipotyphla; Erinaceidae. The transcript is spliced from 2 exons. The record is from RefSeq and is a predicted model, not a curated record.